Aegilops tauschii subsp. strangulata is the source of this 2686-nucleotide long non-coding RNA. RefSeq lists it as uncharacterized. NCBI's taxonomy places the organism in Eukaryota, Viridiplantae, Streptophyta, Magnoliopsida, Poales, Poaceae. The record is from RefSeq and is a predicted model, not a curated record.
UCUUCACUGCAUAUAAGUUGUUCUUGAUCUUUUAUUGUUUGUUGUUGGUUCUUAAUUUAAUCCGGUAAAGAGUAAGUUGCACUUUGUUGGUCCAUUUGGGUUGUGGAUUUAUUUAUUAUGAUGGCGAGACACACCUAUGGUGAGAUUCUAUUUCGAUGAUGAUGUGCACUCUUCACACCUCGCUCUGAAUUGGCACGAGAAGAUUGUUCUAGAUUGGAAUCCAUAUAACUUUGAGAAGGCAUGCUGGUCACCGCCGUGUCUCCUGCUGGCUUGCCCCUCGCCCUCGUUGGGAGGGUUGUGUGGGCCAUCCUACAUUUUAAUCCACAUACCUUUGAAAAGUGAGAGCUCGGUGUCGUGUCCGCCGGCUGAGCGACAAGCUUGAGCUGCAGGUCGCUGAACAACGUGGUCCUACUGUGAGGAUCUCAUCUCUCACUCUAUGUGUGUAUCUCUCAGUCCCGUUCCCCUUUAUGGUAAUCAUUCAUGCCUGUAGGGAUCACUAAGAUUUUUCUUGGUUCUGUAAUUGUGGAUUGCUGUGAUUGUUACUUUAAUAGUGGAUCAUAUAUAUACACCUGGCAACUCAGUUUAGGAUAUCGCUUGGUAAAUGCUGAUUGUUAGUGCAAUAGUGGAUCAUAUAUAUACACCUGGCAACUCUGUUUAGGAUAUCGCUUGGUAAAUGUUGAUUGUUACUGCAAUAGUGGAUCAUAUAUAUACACCAUAUAUAUACUAAUUGUUGAUUGUUUCUUCCAUUUUGGCGGCAACCUUGCUGUUCCGUGCACUAUUGGUUGUUGUUUUUACCGUUCGAUUCAUGAAGGUAAAGCACACUAUGCAUUAUUCACUCUUAAUUGUUUUCUGUUCAUCCAUGGUUAUUCUUCAUGAGCGAGCUAUCUUAACUCCAACCAUUUAUGUGGCUGUCAAAGUCAAUAUUUUUUAUCCUGUCAAUGGUCCCUCAGCACAUACAAGAGUAUUUGAGCUGUGAUUCAAUGGCUAAUUCCGAUGAUGAUGUUAAAAGAAAGCACUGUGUUACAUCCACCUGAGUUCUGAAUGCUAUUUCUAUAAUCAAUUUUCUUGAACAUAAAGUAUUCUUAUCAUUAGAGAGCUUGCCGAUUGUACAUUCAAGCUAUUAUUAUGAUGUGUUCUCCUAUAGGAGAGGUUGUUUGCGUACCAAAUAUAAUUGAUGCUUUAGAAAACCAAAGGGCCUUUCACUUUGAAAAGACGACAAUUUCAUGUCCGACUAUGUUAUUCCACGACAAUAAAUAUGAACCAGGGCUAGACAUUGUCCUUUGUCGGAAUUUAUAUCUGAAAUAUCAUGUUCUAUCCAUGGACAGUUGUAUGUUGUAGUGUCGCGGGUCGUAUUGAAAAAAUCCCUAAAAUUACUUAUGAAAGAUAAAGAUGGAAAUGUAUGGAGACUCAGAACCUUUUUCCCCAAGGUUUAUGCCUCAACUAUAAUAAUUAGUAGUAGCAUGUGUUGUAUUGUUUUUAACAUUAAUAAUUAGUAGAAAUCCCUUUUAAAUUUAUCGACAUGCCCCUAUAAUAAUUAGUAGUACCCUGCAUUGUAUUUUCUCUCAUAGUAUAUCCUCGGAUACAUUGUUUUUCUUUUCUCUUUGGCUACUAAAUUUUAUUGCUAUUCUUCUGCACAUAUAUGUGAUGUGGUACAUUCUUUCUCUUCAUGUUUUAAGAAGUUACUUUAGGAUACUUUAGGUUUUAUUGUUAUUCUCUAUGAUCAUUAGAUUUCCGUUGUGCAUUGUUAUCCUCUGUCAUGAGAUAGUGUCUUGUAGCCUGUUUCCUUGAUGUUUAUUUGAAUAUGUUUUCUUUUAUCCACAGAUGAAGCCCAUCCAUUUGUCUGUUCUUCGUCAGGGUCACAAAGUCUUUGUGACAGGAUUCUUCCCUUUGUAAAUAUGGAAGCCGCUUGUACGGUCUAUUCACAGACUUGCUCAGCUGCUUUGUAGCCUAACUGAUUAUGUAUUCUUGAUCGUCCUCAUGCCAUCUGUCAACUCCAUUGUGAAUCAUCUUUUUAUCUUAAGGUUGUACUCGCUAUGCUAGAAUGAUAGAUGAUAUAGUAAAUACAUCUUUUAUUUUUACAAGGUUCAUAUUCCUGUUUCUUGUUCAGAAUGUGAUGCUCCUGUUCAGAUAAUCAGUAGUGCAUAUUUUGGCUGAUAUUUCUACUACAGAGCACUUGGUGGAUUUGUGACUAUUAUAGCCUUUUUCCGUGUAACUUAAGAAGUGUUAACAUAUUUUUAAAAUGUUACUGUAAUUUUGAAAUCUGUUCACAUGUUUCAAAAAUGUUCGCUCAAUUUAAGAAGUGUAUGCACAUCUAUAUCUCGCUCCUAUCAUAUUCUUCACUGCGUGUUAUCCUGUAUGAUUGCAUAUGUUAAACCUGCGUUAAUACUAACUUAGCAUUACCUGUUUGACGAAAAUGUUGGGACCGGCACCCUCGCGCCAAGGCCGACGAUGAGCUCCAGGUUCUUGGAUCUAUUCAGGUUGCGAUGGCUGACGAUGAGCUCCAGGUUCAUCGCUCGCCAGGCUCCUCUUUGGUCAUCGCUACGCAUCUCAGCUCCGGUAACCAGGUCAGACCUCACCUACGCACAUCACAUGGUUAUUGCUCCUUCUGAGCCCUGCAUAUGUGCUUGCAUCUCAGGAAUUUCUUGGAUCUAUUCAGGUAGCGGUUGUCGUGGUUCUAAGUCUGACA